Molecule: ribosomal RNA, 468 nt
Filed under: uncultured bacterium
Lineage: Bacteria
Description: partial 16S ribosomal RNA
Rfam family: Bacterial small subunit ribosomal RNA
Source: RNAcentral
GACGAACGCUGGCGGCGUGCUUAACACAUGCAAGUCGAACGGAAAGGCCCUGCUUUUGUGGGGUGCUCGGGUGGCGAACGGGUGAGUAACACGUGAGUAACCUGCCCUUGACUUUGGGAUAACUUCAGGCAACUGGGGCUAAUACCGGAUAGGAGCUCCUGCUGCAUGGUGGGGGUUGGAAAGUUUCGGCGGUUGGGGAUGGACUCGCGGCUUAUCAGCUUGUUGGUGGGGUAGUGGCUUACCAAGGCUUUGACGGGUAGCCGGCCUGAGAGGGUGACCGGCCAAAUUGGGCUUGAGAUAAGGCACAGCCUCGUACGGGAGGCAGCAGUGGGGAAUAGUGCACAAGGGGAGGAAGCAUGAUGCAGCAACGCCGUGGGCGGGAUGAGGGCCUUCGGGUAGUAAACCGCUUUCGCCUGUGACGAAGUGUGAGUGACGGUAAUGGGUAAAGAAGCACCGGCUAACUACGUG